GCAAGAGAUCAAGAGGAUUCUUUGGCUUUGGUUUCGGUGCUUCCUCUUCUUCCUCCACAGCCACAACUUCUUUAGGUUUCACAGCCUCUUUCUUGACUUCCUUCUUUGCCUCCUUAGGCUUGGGAUGGACAGGCUUCUUUGGUACAGGAGGAACAGAUUCUGCCUGCUUUACCUCGCCAAUCACCUUGAGGAAAUUUGGUUGGUUAACCAAAGUCCAAAAGUACCUUUCAACGUGAGGAAAUUCGGAGGUAAAGGACUUGGUCAGAAUCCAAGUAAAUCCAUAAUACAAGUUGCAGACUGUGACAAUAUCUGCAAGUGUCACACUGUCCCCAACCAAGAAAGUGGUUGUAGCAAGGUGAGUGUUCAAUGCACCAAGAGACCUCUUCAAAGCAGAUAUCGCAAGUUCCUCAGCUUGAGCAAUGUAAAUAACAUAUCCCAAUCUUGGAUACAACCAUCGUCCUAAGUUUGUAUCAAUCUCAAAUGAUGCAAAGUCAAUCCAUUGCUCAAUCUGGGCAUAUUCAAUGAGUGAAGAGCCAUGAAGAGGAUUAUCAGGCUUUGUGCGAGUAACAUAACGUGCAAUUGCAUUACUCUCAAAGACAGCCCCAUCAGGUGUCUCCAGUACAGGUAUCUUGCCAAGGGGAUUCAUCUUAAGAAAAUCUGGAGUUUUGUUUGAAACACCCAUUUCAAAGUUCUUAACAAGUUCAAUCUUAACACCACUGUACUCUGCAGCAAUCAGUGCCUUGUAAGCAUUUUUAUUGUUGGCAUGGGUAUGCAACACCAGGGACGCCAUGGAUCUCGAGCGGGGAAGGAGCUGAGGAGUGGCGGCGAGGGUGAAUCUAACCGAAGGGAGUAAACCCUAAUUCGCA
RNAcentral lists this unclassified non-coding RNA (866 nucleotides) under Hevea brasiliensis (rubber tree). The record is from RNAcentral. Lineage: Eukaryota; Viridiplantae; Streptophyta; Magnoliopsida; Malpighiales; Euphorbiaceae.